GUCUUCGUAGCUCAGUUGGUUAGAGCGUCUGACUGUUACUCUCUGGGAUAACAAAAAGUCAGCCUAUCUCUUCCUUAGUGGGGAGGUUGUGCUCCACGACAUGUGGCACAUCAGGAGGUCGACAGUUCGAACCUGUCCGAGGACG
This 145-nucleotide transfer RNA is filed under the name Rhodotorula toruloides. RNAcentral's name for it is "tRNA-Asn". It matches the Rfam family "tRNA". Rfam says of the family: Transfer RNA (tRNA) molecules are approximately 80 nucleotides in length. The record is from RNAcentral. Lineage: Eukaryota; Fungi; Basidiomycota; Microbotryomycetes; Sporidiobolales; Sporidiobolaceae.